Phrynosoma platyrhinos (Desert horned lizard) is the source of this 72-nucleotide non-coding RNA. The record is from the annotation of a GenBank genome assembly. Lineage: Eukaryota; Metazoa; Chordata; Lepidosauria; Squamata; Phrynosomatidae.
GCCAGAGUGACAUAGUGGUUUGAGCAUUGGACUAUAACUUUAGGGUCCGGGAUUCAAAUCCCUGCUCAGCCA